This 105-nucleotide Y RNA is filed under the name Procavia capensis (Cape rock hyrax). Its description in RNAcentral is "Y RNA (ENSPCAG00000020135.1)". It matches the Rfam family "Y RNA". Rfam says of the family: Y RNAs are components of the Ro ribonucleoprotein particle (Ro RNP), in association with Ro60 and La proteins. The Y RNAs and Ro60 and La proteins are well conserved, but the function of the Ro RNP is not known. In humans the RNA component can be one of four small RNAs -- hY1, hY3, hY4 and hY5. Lineage: Eukaryota; Metazoa; Chordata; Mammalia; Hyracoidea; Procaviidae. The record is from RNAcentral.
GGCUGGUCGGAAGGUGGUGAGUUAUCUCAGUCAAUGACGCACAGUCAGUCACAGGGGGACGUCGUCCUCUUCUACCCAGUCACGACUGCACUUGACUGGUCUGAG